CCCUUAGAUGUUCUGGGCCGCACGCGCGCUACACUGAUGCAUUCAACGAGCCUAGCCUUGCCCGAGAGGUCCGGGUAAUCUUUGAAACUGCAUCGUGAUGGGGCUAGAUUAUUGCAAUUAUUAAUCUUCAACGAGGAAUGCCUAGUAAGCGUGAUUCAUCAAAUCGCGUUGAUUACGUCCCUGCCCUUUGUACACACCGCCCGUCGCUCCUACCGAUCGAGUGUGUUGGUGAGGAGUUUGGAUUGGCCUCGGAAGGUGGUUCGCCACCGUCCGUAGCUGAGAAGUUCUCCAAACCGCCCCACUUAGAGGAAGGAGAAGUCGUAACA
This 326-nucleotide ribosomal RNA is filed under the name uncultured eukaryote. Its description in RNAcentral is "partial 18S ribosomal RNA". It matches the Rfam family "Eukaryotic small subunit ribosomal RNA", at positions 1470 to 1796 of the family's 1831-position model. The record is from RNAcentral.